RNAcentral lists this ribosomal RNA (859 nucleotides) under uncultured Clostridia bacterium. Its description in RNAcentral is "bacterial SSU rRNA". It matches the Rfam family "Bacterial small subunit ribosomal RNA", at positions 28 to 896 of the family's 1533-position model. Lineage: Bacteria; Bacillati; Bacillota; Clostridia. The record is from RNAcentral.
GAUAACGCUGGCGGCGUGCAUAACACUUGCAAGUCGAACGAUGAAACUUAGAUGAUUUCUUCGGAAUGAACUUAAGCGGAUUAGUGGCGAACGGGUGAGUAACACGUGAGUAACCUGCCUUACACAAGGGGAUAGCCUUUGGAAACGAAGAAUAAUACCCUAUAACGUCAAUUUAUCGCAUGAUAGAAUGACCAAAGAUUUAUCGGUGUAAGAUGGACUUGCGUCUGAUUAGCUAGUUGGUGAGAUAAAGGCCCACCAAGGCAACGAUCAGUAGCCGGCUUGAGAGAGUGUACGGCCACAUUGGGACUGAGACACGGCCCAAACUCCUACGGGAGGCAGCAGUGGGGAAUUUUGCACAAUGGGGGAAACCCUGAUGCAGCGACGCCGCGUGAUUUAGAAGGCCUUCGGGUUGUAAAAAUCUUUUUUAUGGGAUGAAAAUGACAGUACCAUAAGAAUAAGGUCCGGCUAAAUACGUGCCAGCAGCCGCGGUAAUACGUAUGGACCGAGCGUUGUCCGGAAUCAUUGGGCGUAAAGGGUACGUAGGCGGCCCAGUAAGUUAGAAGUGAAAUAAUAUAGCUCAACUAUAUAAAGCUUUUAAAACUGCUAGGCUUGAGAGAUGGAAGGGAAAGUGGAAUUCCUAGUGUAGCGGUGAAAUGCGCAGAUAUUAGGAAGAAUACCGGUGGCGAAGGCGACUUUCUGGUCAUCAUCUGACGCUGAGGUACGAAAGCGUGGGUAGCAAACAGGAUUAGAUACCCUGGUAGUCCACGCUGUAAACGAUGAGUGUUAGGUUCUUGGAAUAAUCUGGGAGCCGCAGCUAACGCAUUAAACACUCCGCCUGGGGAGUACGCACGCAAGUGUG